GAUGAAGAACGUAGCGAAAUGCGAUAAGUAACGUGAAUUGCAGAAUUCAGUGAAUCAUCGAAUCUUUGAACGCACAUUGCGCCCGCCAGUAUUCUGGCGGGCAUGCCUGUCUGAGCGUCAUUUCAACCCUCAUGCCCCUAGGGCGUGGUGUUGGGGAUCGGCCAAAGCCCGCGAGGGACGGCCGGCCCCUAAAUCUAGUGGCGGACCCGUCGUGGCCUCCUCUGCGAAGUAGUGAUAUUCCGCAUCGGAGAGCGAUGAGCCCCUGCCGUUAAACCCCCAACUUUCCAAGGUUGACCUCAGAUCAGGUAGGAAUACCCGCUGAACUUAAGCAUAUCAAUAAGCGGAGGA
This 348-nucleotide unclassified non-coding RNA is filed under the name soil metagenome. Its description in RNAcentral is "partial contains 5.8S ribosomal RNA, internal transcribed spacer 2, and large subunit ribosomal RNA". The stretch from base 1 to 120 matches the Rfam family "5.8S ribosomal RNA", at positions 35 to 154 of the family's 154-position model. The record is from RNAcentral.